RNAcentral lists this ribosomal RNA (469 nucleotides) under uncultured bacterium. Its description in RNAcentral is "partial 16S ribosomal RNA". It matches the Rfam family "Bacterial small subunit ribosomal RNA", at positions 28 to 507 of the family's 1533-position model. The record is from RNAcentral.
GACGAACGCUGGUGGCGUGCUUAACACAUGCAAGUCGAACGGAAAGGCCCUGCUUGCAGGGUGCUCGAGUGGCGAACGGGUGAGUAACACGUGGGUGAUCUGCCCCUUACUUUGGGAUAAGCCUGGGAAACUGGGUCUAAUACUGGAUAGGACCAUGCUGUAGGUGGUGUGGUGGAAAGAUUAGUUUCGGUAAGGGAUGAGCUCGCGGCCUAUCAGCUUGUUGGUGGGGUAAUGGCCUACCAAGGCGUCGACGGGUAGCCGGCCUGAGAGGGUGGACGGCCACAUUGGGACUGAGAUACGGCCCAGACUCCUACGGGAGGCAGCAGUGGGGAAUAUUGCACAAUGGGCGCAAGCCUGAUGAAGCGACGCCGCGUGGGGGAUGACGGCCUUCGGGUUGUAAACUCCUUUCAGCCAUGACGAAGCCCUUGUGGUGACGGUAGUGGUAGAAGAAGCACCGGCUAACUACGUG